This 484-nucleotide ribosomal RNA is filed under the name uncultured bacterium. RNAcentral's name for it is "partial 16S ribosomal RNA". It matches the Rfam family "Bacterial small subunit ribosomal RNA", at positions 30 to 507 of the family's 1533-position model. The record is from RNAcentral.
AUUGAACGCUGGCGGCAGGCCUAACACAUGCAAGUCGAGCGGAUGAAGGGAGCUUGCUCCUGGAUUCAGCGGCGGACGGGUGAGUAAUGCCUAGGAAUCUGCCUGGUAGUGGGGGAUAACGUCCGGAAACGGGCGCUAAUACCGCAUACGUCCUGAGGGAGAAAGUGGGGGAUCUUCGGACCUCACGCUAUCAGAUGAGCCUAGGUCGGAUUAGCUAGUUGGUGGGGUAAAGGCCUACCAAGGCGACGAUCCGUAACUGGUCUGAGAGGAUGAUCAGUCACACUGGAACGUAGACACGGUCCAGGGUACUACGGGAGGCCGCAGUCGGGAAUAUUGGACAAUGGGCGAAAGCAUGAUCCAGCCAGGCCGCGUGUGUGGAGAAGGUCUUCGGAUUGUAAAGCACUUUAAGUUGGGGGGAAGGGCAGUAAGUUGAUACCUUGCUGUUUUGACGGUACCAACAGAAUAAGCACCGGCUAACUACGUG